This 231-nucleotide ribosomal RNA is filed under the name uncultured bacterium. RNAcentral describes it as "partial 16S ribosomal RNA". It matches the Rfam family "Bacterial small subunit ribosomal RNA", at positions 99 to 334 of the family's 1533-position model. The record is from RNAcentral.
CGGACGGGUGAGUAAUGUCUGGGAAACUGCCCGAUGAGGGGGAGUAACUACUGGAAACGGUAGCAAUACCGCAUAACGUCGCAAGACCAAAGAGGGGGACCUUCGGGCCUCUUGCCAUCGGAUGUGCCCAGAUGGGAUUAGCUAGUAGGUGGGGUAACGGCUCACCUAGGCGACGAUCCCUAGCUGGUCUGAGAGGAUGACCAGCCACACUGGAACUGAGACACGGCCCAG